GAUGAACGCUGGCGGCGUGCCUAAUACAUGCAAGUCGAGCGAACAGACGAGGAGCUUGCUCCUCUGACGUUAGCGGCGGACGGGUGAGUAACACGUGGAUAACCUACCUAUAAGACUGGGAUAACUUCGGGAAACCGGAGCUAAUACCGGAUAAUAUAUUGAACCGCAUGGUUCAAUAGUGAAAGACGGUUUUGCUGUCACUUAUAGAUGGAUCCGCGCCGCAUUAGCUAGUUGGUAAGGUAACGGCUUACCAAGGCAACGAUGCGUAGCCGACCUGAGAGGGUGAUCGGCCACACUAGAACUGAGACACGGUCCAGACGCCUACGGGAGGCAGCAGUAGGGAAUCUUCCGCAAUGGGCGAAAGCCUGACGGAGCAACGCCGCGUGAGUGAUGAAGGUCUUCGGAUCGUAAAACGCUGUUAUUAGGGAAGAACAAAUGUGUAAGUAACGAUGCACGUCUUGACGGUACCGAAUCAGAAAGCCACGGCUAACUACGU
Molecule: ribosomal RNA, 496 nt
Filed under: uncultured bacterium
Lineage: Bacteria
Description: partial 16S ribosomal RNA
Rfam family: Bacterial small subunit ribosomal RNA
Source: RNAcentral